CCUACGGGCGGCAGCAGUAGGGAAUAUUGCUCAAUGGGGGAAACCCUGAAGCAGCAACGCCGCGUGGAGGAUGAAGGUUUUCGGAUUGUAAACUCCUUUUGUUAGAGAAGAUAAUGACGGUAUCUAAAGAAUAAGCACAGGCUAAUUCCGUGCCAGCAGCCGCGGUAAUACGGAGGGUGCAAGCGUUACUCGGAAUCACUGGGCGUAAAGAGGGCGCAGGCGGGAUAGCAAGUCAGAUGUGAAAUCCUAUGGCUUAACAAUAGCACUGCAUUUGAAACUGUUAUACUAGAGGAUGGGAGAGGUAGGUGGAAUUCUUGGUGUAGGGGUAAAAUCCGUAGAGAUCACGAAGAAUACUCAUUGCGAAGGCGACCUGCUAGAACAUAACUGACGCUGAUGCGCGAAAGCGUGGGGAGCAAACAGGAUUAGAUACCCCUGUAGUC
Molecule: ribosomal RNA, 440 nt
Filed under: uncultured bacterium
Lineage: Bacteria
Description: partial 16S ribosomal RNA
Rfam family: Bacterial small subunit ribosomal RNA
Source: RNAcentral